This 77-nucleotide transfer RNA is filed under the name Acidaminococcales bacterium. RNAcentral's name for it is "tRNA-Val". It matches the Rfam family "tRNA". Rfam says of the family: Transfer RNA (tRNA) molecules are approximately 80 nucleotides in length. Their secondary structure includes four short double-helical elements and three loops (D, anti-codon, and T loops). The record is from RNAcentral. Lineage: Bacteria; Bacillati; Bacillota; Negativicutes; Acidaminococcales.
GGGGUUAUAGCUCAGUUGGUUAGAGCGCUUCGUUGACAUCGAAGAGGUCAUAGGUUCGAGUCCUACUAACCCCACCA